Phoenix dactylifera (date palm) is the source of this 2195-nucleotide non-coding RNA. The record is from RefSeq and is a predicted model, not a curated record. NCBI's taxonomy places the organism in Eukaryota, Viridiplantae, Streptophyta, Magnoliopsida, Arecales, Arecaceae.
CUUAAUAUGAACCUGUGUUUAGAAAAUAAAGUUAAAAAAUGAGAUCUAUUGGAAUAUCUUAUUGUUAUUCAGAAUAUAUCAAAUAUGGUUUGUUAGAAUUCUUCUUUCUUUGAUAUUUCCUUUCUUUUUCAGAAAACCUUCUUUCAUAUAUUGAUUACUACAUAUCCUUUGGGUGGUCCUGACCUCCCCUUCAAUCCCAAAAAAAAGGAGUACCACAUGUUAUAAACUUCUGUAGAAUAUCUAGUGGACAUGAAUUUCAACCUUGUCAUCAUUGUCCUUGGCGUAUCUUGAUUAAUUCUGUUCAGACUUUGUCGAUUACCUUGGGAAACUAGAUGUCCUACAGAAUAUUUGUAAUCACUUUGUUAUGGCAUUUUAUACUUGAAAGAGCUGAAAGGAAAAAGUUUGGGAAAAAACGGUUCCUCUUCCUCUAUGUCAUUGUUAACUAACAUUCUAAAUUAUGAAUUCAUGCUGGUUCCUCAAAACAUUUGAAAGUUUUGAUUUCUAAGGGUGACUAUUUUCCUUCUUGAUAAAAGUGGCACUUUAAUCAUCGUUUUCCUGUCUUAAUCAAUGAAAAAUACCUGGGCACGUCCAUGAUGAGCAUGGAAUUCAACAGGAACAACUGAUAUUCCCCUAUGAUUUCAUUUUUGUGAAGGGGGUUUUCUAACAGGUGCUUGGUAAAAUUAAAAACAGGAAGCUGAAAGAAUCAAGGUGUUAAUAGUGGUAGUAGAAGCCAGAUAAAUCACCUGUGUUUAUUUAUGCCGAGGACCACCUACUGGUUUUUAAUGCUUAACUGCAACAAUGUCAGAAUAUCAAGGCUAUAAUGCAAGAAUUUAAGAGUGUCUGGACAAGACAAGUUGAUGUGGAUUCUCUUCAACACUUCACCAUUGACUCUUAAAGAUAAUUAGACAUUUAUUAAUGUCAUAAAAUUGAAGGAAUAUAUAAUUGUGCUGAAGUCCCUGAAGCAAGUGAGAGGCUAAGAGCCGGUGGCUUCUAUGCCCCUCGGAAGCAGGGUUCUGAAGAAUAUUAGGCUAUUAGCAGAAUGGAAAGCAUGGAGAACUUUUAGAGGACGCUAGAAUAAGCAUCUAUUCCUCAGAUACUUCUAAUAUAUGCAGUGGAAGCAACCCAGGUUGCAAGGAAAGUCAGAAAUGAUGUAGAGAAGACACUGAAAGAUUUUUUUGUGGAAUAGAGGUGGGUGCAACAGCCAAUCUUAGCUGGGAUAAGCUAAGUGAUCCUAAAGAUAUGGACAGUUUAGGAAUUAUCUACCUCUCUAAAUUUUAAGUGGCAUUUUCCUAAAGAUGUAGUAUAUAUUCUAAAUUAUAAGGAAAAUUUCUAGACUUGUAUAACUAGAACUAAAUGUAAAUUGAAUGAUGUAAUUCUGGUAGGAAAUACAAAGAGGCUCUGUUCUGUUAUUUGGAAGAGCUCGUGAAGCUGGUGGCUUGGAAAAUCUACCUUUAACAUGGUGUCCAUGCUUGGAGGGAAAGGAUCAACACUAAAAUAAUACAUGGAUUUUGGAUUAAUGCUGCAAGCAGGUAUAAUUGAGAUUGGAUUUGGAGAAUGUCCUUUAGGUCCCUAGAUAGAGGAAUUUGUAGUCAAAUGCUGAUAAAAGGAAAAACUUGGAGAGAGAUGAUUCAGAAAAUCUAACAAUCCAGGACCUGACCCAAAAAUACAAGCCGGAAGGUAUUAUUUAGCUUUCUUGAUUCUGUAUGAGUAAGUAAGAUCUACCCAGCGAAUAACCAAUGUGGGACUAAACACACGCCCACACAGGUCCUCACAAAAAAUGUCUAAACCGAACCGGCUGAAGUUAAACACUAUUGGUUGUACAUGUUUAAGAUGAAGGAGCUGGUUCUGUGGCUGUAUUGAGAGAUGAUAUGGUAAGAUUUUUACCGGCUUUAGCUGACUAGUGCCAAGCCAUAGGUAUUGGAGUUGUCGAGCCUGUUGUUAUGAGAGAUGAAAAUUUGUUUAUUAUCACCAAAGUGGAUUCAGAUAUUUUAGCUGAAAUGUGAUCAAUAUGCAUUGUUAACUACUUGCAAGGGAGGAUCUCUGGCUGACUCGUAUUAUUUUGCCUGAAAGAGGCCUGCAGCCUUCUUAGUGGGUUUUGGGAGAAUGAAAGCAACUGCCGAUUUCACGGCAGGAUGGGCGACUAUAAGCAAAAGUUUCUUUUCCUUUUCUUUUUGUCUACUCUACAGGGUUAUUAG